Molecule: ribosomal RNA, 305 nt
Filed under: uncultured bacterium
Lineage: Bacteria
Description: bacterial SSU rRNA
Rfam family: Bacterial small subunit ribosomal RNA
Source: RNAcentral
GCCUACGGGGGGCAGCAGUAGGGAAUCUUCCACAAUGGGCGAAAGCCUGAUGGAGCAACGCCGCGCGGGUGAAGAAGGUCUUCGGAUCGUAAAACCCUGUUGUUAGAGAAGAAAGUGCGUGAGAGUAACUGUUCACGUUUCGACGGUAUCUAACCAGAAAGCCACGGCUAACUGCGUGCCAGCAGCCGCGGUAAUACGUAGGUGGCAAGCGUUAUCCGGAUUUAUUGGGCGUAAAGGGAACGCAGGCGGUCUUUUAAGUCUGAUGUGAAAGCCUUCGGCUUUACCGGAGUAGUGCAUUGGAAACU